Non-coding RNA from Pelobates cultripes (western spadefoot toad), 209 nucleotides. The record is from the annotation of a GenBank genome assembly. NCBI's taxonomy places the organism in Eukaryota, Metazoa, Chordata, Amphibia, Anura, Pelobatidae.
UCCCUUUGUCCUUACUUUUUAAAGGGCCAAACUCUCUGCACGUCAUUAGUUGAUCGGACGAAUAGGGAACUGUAGGCGUGUCUACCUUACAGACUAUCAUCUAGAUUUUGGUCAGUAGAUGGCGCAAUUACAUCACCAAAAUGUAUUGUCCUGGAAUGGGUUAACUGAAAAUGAUGAUGAUUUUGACGUCAAUAAUUUAUCUAUUUUAU